CUAGGAGAAGCAAAACAGUUCUAGACAGACCUGUGGUUUUACAGCAGUUUUGGCAGUCUACUUCAGCUUGUGCCUAAGCAGGCAGCCAGUGGCCUGUCGGCCAGCCGGGGACACCAAGCAGCCUCCCCAGGUUGCUUGCAGCCACUCUCUAAUUAAAUCAUUUUCCCCGGGUGCCAGGAGUGGGGGUCCCCGCAGAAAGG
This is a non-coding RNA of Loxodonta africana (African savanna elephant), 200 nucleotides long. The record is from Rfam. NCBI's taxonomy places the organism in Eukaryota, Metazoa, Chordata, Mammalia, Proboscidea, Elephantidae.